Molecule: long non-coding RNA, 4296 nt
Filed under: Coffea arabica (coffee)
Lineage: Eukaryota; Viridiplantae; Streptophyta; Magnoliopsida; Gentianales; Rubiaceae
Description: long non-coding RNA (CARA_LNC004838)
Source: RNAcentral
ACCAAUUUUCCAAAAGCUUAGUAUACAUAUAACCAAAAGUCAACUUACAUAACAAGAGUUGAACUUAUAGGUUUAAACUUACAGGAGUCAAAAGUAAGGUCUACUUAAGUAAAAGGUUACACUCUCAAAUACAAGUCCAAAACAAUGUACAGCUAAGAAAGCUCUCGAUCAAAUCCAUCCCUGAUCUGUUAAGGAAAACAAAGGAAGUGGGGUGAGCUAAUGCCCAAUGAGGUUUCAAGUAAAACGAUUAAACACAGCCAAAUAAGGUCACAAAAUAAUCAAAUAAACUCUGUACAGUAAGACUCUAAUUUAAUCACAGCUCAAUUAAAGGAUACGGAUGGCUUUCAAAAGGCAAUAACCACUGGAGCUUGAUCAUAACUGGAUCCGUUGACUCUCCGUCAACGUUUGUAUUCAUAAAAUGCAAGUCCGUAGAACACCGCUUUCACCAAUCUCCGUUCACCAAUCAACCCCCUACCGGGCCCGCACGCCACAAACAAUAGUUUGGUAAUACUCGAGUAUACCAGGAAUCCAAGAUUCCAAAGAAACAGGAUCAAAUUGAGGAUUUUACCACUGCUGGUGUUGGGCAACACGACAAGCAAGCUCAACGGCUAUACUUCACCAGGGAGCUCCAAACAUCAGUCCCCAAGAUUUAUCGGCCUUCUCGACCAAGCCCUUGUUGGCUCGAUACAACCGACUCACCUAAGAGGUUGGGCACUCAAACAGUACAAACAGUAGCAGUAGUUGAUGGGAUAUCACCUAAAUAACUCAAACACAGUCAUGUAUAUAGCGAAAUCUCAUCUCAUAAUAAUAGUAUACAGAGGCUCAUUGGAAAACAAGGGAGGUCGAGUGCGAUAAAGUACACGCUUGCCUCCAUUUUAUCAAAACAGUAUUUGGCUCGAACAGUCAUAAAUCAAUUAUUUCAGAUAUUCAGAUAUUUCACAUAAUGGGUAGCAGGUAGUGGAACACUCACCAAAGAUGUAGUGCCUUACGGAUCACGGUCAGGUAUUACUCCUUGUGUGGAGUUCAACUCUGUGAUAAAACGUCAUUUAAGAACUUGAAAUCAAUUAGGGUUCAAGUUUCUUUUAAAGAAAAUCAAGUAAUUGAAACUCAUUUUGGGAAUAUUUGUAAAAGUCAUGCUCGUUCUUAAAACUUUGAAACUUUGAAGCGAUUAAACUUUGAAAUUCCCAUUUGAGUCGAAGAGAGGAGGAAAACGUAUUUCUAUUAGUCGUUACUUUCAUUUUUCCAAGGUUACAAGGUUUGGCCGAAUUCUAACUUAUAUACCUCUAUGAGCGAAGACUUGAAUACCCUAGACGAUUCGAGUUCAAUUCGACCUCAAAAUCUUCGCUCAAACUGCGAGUAUACACGUCUCACCUUCGAGUGAAAAUUUGGGCAGUAUACCCCUUUGUAUUUAGCUAUUUUCCAGUCAUUUAUGGCUUCAUUAUUUUUCUCAAUUCAGCCUUAAAAUCACACACAAAUAAUCUUACCACAAUAGCCUAAUAGCCUUUCACUAGGCUCAAUGUCAUCCACACACAAGACAAUUUUAGCAUGUAAGCUUCACUUGGAAAUUUGAAAAUGGUGGCUAAAAGCUAAGUACAAGUCUUGACUGCUUUAAUUAAGGUAACUUGUUAAAAGAGUAAAACUUUGAGGAAAUGAGAGAUACAUUAGCGAGAGAAGUUCAAUAGGGAUAUAUUUGAUGCCAAGGAAGUGGAAAAAUCAAGGUGAGAGGUUGGAAGUAGGCCGUCUAAGGUUUUAAAGUCAAGAAGCCCGUUUCUAUUCUUCAGGAAUCUACGGAGAUGAAUAGUAACAGUAAAUUUUAAAAAUUUGCAACUCGAGUUCCACAAAUCAAACAAUUAUGAAAGUUAUACUGUUGGAAAAUAGAAUUUUAGUACUAUCACAUCCCAGAAGACACUUUUCAGAGAUUCAAAUCACAAAUAGGCCAAAGAUUCAAUCCAAGUCAAAAAUUCAUUUUUCUGAAGAAACAGGACAUUCAAGCAGGACAGCCUACUUUGAGGAGUCACGGACAGCAGUACACAUCGACGAAAAAUAUGAAAUUUUUACAGAACAAAGGCCUAUGACUCUAGUUUCAAAUUCCACUGACGGCACCUCAAUCGGAUUUUCCUACACCGAGAUAUAAGCAUUUUACUGAGACUGGUCAGUGAAAUCCGAAAAUCUGGAAACUCAUUUGUCACUUGUGAAAAACUCUUUUUUCUCUUUUAAAACCACAAAGACUUUUAUUCAAACCACCCAUACAUUUAAGUAUGACAUUCAUACCAGCAAUUUUAACAGAAACCAAAGAAAUAUACAUAUAUUCCAAGUUUAAAGUCUUGUAAGAUGUUUAGACUAAAAUUAAAUCAUUUUCUAUCCAAUAUUCAAGGAUUAAGGCAAAUGAACUCUUCAUUUGUUCCAUUUAAGCUAAACCAGAUUCUAAGUUGUUUGUAGUUUGGGUUUUGUUCCAUUACACCAGCCCCUCACAUUAAUAGUCUUUAAAAUAGUAAUGAACACAAUAUUAAAUCAUUAGAAGCCACUUUACGUAUAUAACUAUCGUAACUUUCCACUCAAUCGCGUUAGUUUAACCCUACUCGUGGAACUAGGUAUAUCCAUUAAAUCUGAGAACAAUCGUAGCUAUCAUUUAUGAAAACUUGCAAGAUUGGAAAUUAGAAGAAAUGUUAGUUAAAAGUUGGUUUCCUCACGGCCAUCAUCAAAGCUGCAUGCAUGUGAAACAAAAGGAAAGGCAACGAGGAAGUCAGCUUUGCCAUCCUCUGGUAUUUCAAUCAUAACUAGAGCUAUACUUAUCAGAUUGAGGCAAACUUUAUAGUGUUUCGAAGCUAAGAUAAAGAGCUACAUUUCUUAUGAAGACACCAACACCCAGUUCUCAUAAUUUCAGGGUCAAAAAUGGCCGGACAGAAACACAUCCUGCUUCACUCUCUCGGACAGCAACCACAAAAUUAAUCCAGUACCGUUACUUCAACUUUUGUCAAAAACUCUUUUCUUUCACUUGCUUAAAGCUCUAAAUACUUAAGGUAUAUUCAGUCCAGCAUAUACAAGGUGAGUAACUCAUAAUUUCAGCAUGUUGUUCGGCCAAAAUCACACACAAAAUCUGUCAUCAGCUGUUGCAUCAUUCAACGAAGUUUUCCAGCAGUAUAACAGUUCAACUUUGAUGUUUUCUCAAAUAUUUCCUUUCAGGUUCAUGCUCCAACUAGAAGUAUAAAACAUAUCUUAUCAAGCUACAAAGUAGCCUUAAACAGAACAUAUGAGGUUUACAACUAAAAUUCAAAGGAAGAUUGAUUAAAAGUCCUUUUCUCUCUCUCUCAGCCUUCCUAGCAGGUUUCAUCAGCUUUAAUCAAAAUUUCGCCAUUAGUUUUCCAUUAUGCUCUCAAAUCUAACUUGUAAUCAUAUUAAACAUUAGACAGAUCAUAAUACGUGAGUUCCAGUCACAAUUUAGUAAACCUUUUAGAGAAAUAACCAAAAUUGCAGCUUUUCCCUCUCGAUUUGCUGUGCAGAAAAUUCCAGCUUUUGAGAUUGCUUUAAAGUCAAUCUUUUCUUGCUUUUAGCUCCUCAAAUAACACAUGGAUGACUGGAUUAGGAAGAUGGCAGUUAUAUGAAGUGAGUUUUUGACUAAACUAACAAAAUUUUCUAGAGAUAAAGCUGGAAAUUUCCAGCUUCAUCUUAUUGAUCCUUCAUGUAGUGUCCAAAUAGAAAUUCAGCCAAGUUUCUUCAUAUUUUACAUUCAUUCCACUUGAGUUCAGGUCAAGUACUGCACCCAUGUCAAGAUAUGUAUACUAUGGAAUAUAUAUAAUGCAUGAAGACAUAAUCUAACACAUUUUGAAGGAGAAAUGACUUGAAAAUUGCAGCUUUUAUCAUCGGGUGGCAUGCAAUAGCUUUGAACAGAAUUUUCCAGCUUUGAAGAACUUUUAUCGGUGAAUUCCUUCCUUUCUCAGUUCUAGUUCAUCCAAGGAAUUAUUAACCAGGCAUAGCAGGAAAAUGAAGAAGAGCUUAAUUAAUUACCUAUUGUCUCUUCACGGUUUAGACUGGAACAAGAUUUCUGGUUUUCUUUUGUUUCCCUCUCUCGAUUCCUUGGUUAAAUGAGCUGGAGUUUCUCUUGUUUCUUGGCUGGUGUUCAUGGUUGGAGAAGGUAAGAGGGGUCUCUGUUUUUCCUUCUUGUUGUUUCUCGAUUUUAGGCAACAGGGGAAGUGAAUGGAACCCUCUCGGUCACCGCCCAACUAGUGCACAAAUGAAUUUCUUAGUUCCUCUCAUUCGGUCAUCACCUCACGUAGCAAAUAAAUGGGCAGCUGUCUU